AGACUCUCUGGGGCAUGUGUUUUCUGUGUGCUGGAAACCCUGCCGGCAAGAACAUUCACCUCAUAUAUGAAGAACCAAGUUUCUCUGAGAUUCCACUAAAAUGACAGUGUCAGAGUGCAAGAAGAGAUAAAGCUGUAGCAAUGAAGAGACUGGGAAUGAAGGUCGAUUGUAGAUGAAAGACUUCAACAGAUUUCUUGAAUAUGAAAGCAGAUGGCAAAAUGUUGAUGGAUGACACAGAGUAGAGGAAGCCAAAGUCCAAAUGAUGCCUUCUGAGUAUAUACCCCAGGAAAACCAAGGAGAAGACCAAAAAGAAGACCUGGAAUACAGGAUUGGCCUUGAAUCCAGGAGGUCACUGAAGAGAAUCCCAAGGAUGACAGCUGUGCAGCAGAUCCAGACAACAGGUCCAGAUUAGAAAAUUCUUGGAAGGACCUCAUUGUGGGGGGCUAUGAGUAGAUAAGAGGAUUCUAUAUAAUAGUAAUUGGCAUUACUGAAAGGCUGGAUACAUAUGAGAUUG
Prionailurus viverrinus (fishing cat) is the source of this 514-nucleotide long non-coding RNA. RefSeq lists it as uncharacterized. The record is from RefSeq and is a predicted model, not a curated record. The transcript is spliced from 3 exons. NCBI's taxonomy places the organism in Eukaryota, Metazoa, Chordata, Mammalia, Carnivora, Felidae.